This 254-nucleotide ribosomal RNA is filed under the name uncultured bacterium. RNAcentral's name for it is "partial 16S ribosomal RNA". It matches the Rfam family "Bacterial small subunit ribosomal RNA", at positions 524 to 776 of the family's 1533-position model. The record is from RNAcentral.
GACAUAGGUGGCGAACGUUAUCCGGAAUUAUUGGGCGUAAAGGCUGCGUAGAUGGUAGAAUAAGUUACUGGUCGAUGCCAAACUCAAUUUGGCGGAAGCCGAUAAUACUGUUCUACUCGAGGGCAGGAGAGGUUGUUGGAAUUCUGUGUGGAGCGGUGAAAUGCCUUGAUCUACAGAGGAACACCAAAAAAGGCGAAGGCAAUCAACUAUUCUGUUCCUGACAUUGAGGCAUGAAAGCGUGGGGAGCAAACCGG